CGUGGUGGAUGCUGUUAGGAGUAGACCGUCCACCGGUGACGCCGUGGGAGGCCGGGGGGUCGAGUCUCUGGCCGCCUCCAUUGCGAUUCCCAACCCACCCGAGGAGAGGACGGACCCAGUAGCUGAGACGAAAUGGCUUGGGCUUGCUCUGCAUCGUGCUGAUACGAUCAAAGGGAAUAGCCGGGGGUUUCUGAGAGCCCAGCUAUUUGGAUCAUUCAUGAUUUGCUGCCAUUGUGAACACUCUUAAUGCGAGAACUCUGCCACAGAAAUGCUGAUUAAUAAAGGUAACUGAGGGUUUUUUUUUUUUUGGCGUUCUAACAGGGAGGGAAAUAAUAUAGUGACUAAAAAUGCA
This 352-nucleotide long non-coding RNA is filed under the name Equus caballus (horse). RNAcentral's name for it is "lncRNA (ENSECAG00000048578.1)". Lineage: Eukaryota; Metazoa; Chordata; Mammalia; Perissodactyla; Equidae. The record is from RNAcentral.